This 400-nucleotide ribosomal RNA is filed under the name phytoplankton environmental sample. RNAcentral describes it as "partial small subunit ribosomal RNA". It matches the Rfam family "Eukaryotic small subunit ribosomal RNA", at positions 587 to 987 of the family's 1831-position model. The record is from RNAcentral.
AGCUCCAAUAGCGUAUAUUAAAGUUGCUGCGGUUAAAAAGCUCGUAGUUGGAUCUCAGUCUCGGUGUGACGGUCCACUUUUGCGGUGGUACUGUUAUUCAUCGGACAGUUUGCCGUAUUUCUUUCGUGAUGCUCUUAAUUGAGUGUGACGUGAGGACGGCGUGUUUACUUUGAAAAAAUUAGAGUGCUCAAAGCAGGCAGUGUUGCCUGAAUCUUCGUGCAUGGAAUGAUGGAAUAGGGCCUCGGUUCUAUUUUGUUGGUUUCCGGAACUCGAGGUAAUGAUUAAGAGAGACGGACGGGGGCAUUCGUAUUGCGACGUUAGAGGUGAAAUUCUUAGAUCGUCGCAAGACGAACUACUGCGAAAGCAUUUGCCAAGAAUGUUUUCAUUAAUCAAGAACGAA